UGAGGAAUAUUGGUCAAUGGGGGCAACCCUGAACCAGCCAAGUCGCGUGAAGGAUGAAGGUCUUAUGGAUUGUAAACUUCUUUUAUACAGGAAUAAAUUGGGGGACGUGUCCCCUUUUGCAUGUACUGUAUGAAUAAGGAUCGGCUAACUCCGUGCCAGCAGCCGCGGUAAUACGGAGGGUCCGAGCGUUAUCCGGAUUUAUUGGGUUUAAAGGGUGCGCAGGCGGGAUGUUAAGUCGGCGGUGAAAUUUUGCAGCUCAACUGUAAAAGUGCCUUCGAUACUGGCUUCCUUGAGUGUAGAUGAAGUAGGCGGAAUUUGUGGUGUAGCGGUGAAAUGCUUAGAUAUCACGAGGAACUCCGAUUGCGCAGGCAGCUUACUAAACUACAACUGACGCUCAUGCACGAAGGCGUGGGGAUCAAACA
RNAcentral lists this ribosomal RNA (422 nucleotides) under uncultured bacterium. RNAcentral's name for it is "bacterial SSU rRNA". It matches the Rfam family "Bacterial small subunit ribosomal RNA", at positions 355 to 774 of the family's 1533-position model. The record is from RNAcentral.